UGGAGAGGCCGAGAAGUCAAUCCAAGAAGAAAAACGAAGACCAAGGAAAGACAGUCAGGGAAAAUUAUUAGAUUUGGAAGAUUUCUAUUAUAAGGAAUUUUUGCCCAGUCGUUCUGGACCAAAGGAACAUAGCCCUAGUUUAAGAGAACGAAGACCACAGCAAGAACUCCAGAAUCAAUGUAUUAAGGCUAAUGAAAGGUGCUGGGCGGCGGAGAGCCCCGAGAAGGAGGAGGAGAGAGAGCCAGCAGCCAACCCCUACGACUUCAGGAGGCUCCUGCGCAAAACCUCCCAGCGCCGGCGCCUCGUCCAGCAGUCCUAACCGUUCAACGAGGCAGUCACCGCCGUCGGAAGGCGCUGGAGCCUGCGGGGCAGCAGGGGCCAAGCAGGCACUCUGGGGCUGGCACCAGCAGGCACUGAAGCUGCGGCCCUGAUCUCCGCAGAGGCUGCCUGCUGCGCUCGGCCCUCAAGUGCCCGGGCCGGCCUUCGUGCUCCGAAACAAGAGACCUGGGAGCCCUCGGGAAACCUCCCCCGACGCUCUCUCUCGGAACUCCCGCACCCUCCUUUCUCACCAGCCCGCCAGUUGUGGCAACCCUGUCCUUGUUCCCCUAAUCUAUCACUUUGUUCUUUUUUUUUGUGACUCCUGUGGACUCCACUGCGCCUGGGAUCUCGCCAACCCCUCUCUCAUUUGGGGUGACUGAAUUCACAGAUUUUUUUUUUUAUUGGAAACGGCUUUUCUUGGCCAACAGAACACUUGCUAGCGGUUGAAUCUUA
This 771-nucleotide long non-coding RNA is filed under the name Homo sapiens (human). Its description in RNAcentral is "long non-coding RNA NONHSAT155240.1". The record is from RNAcentral. Lineage: Eukaryota; Metazoa; Chordata; Mammalia; Primates; Hominidae.